CCUACGGGAGGCAGCAGUGGGGAAUUUUGGACAAUGGGGGCAACCCUGAUCCAGCCAUGCCGCGUGUGUGAAGAAGGCCUUCGGGUUGUAAAGCACUUUCGGCCGGAACGAAAUCGCGCGGGCUAACACCCCGCGCGGAUGACGGUACCGGAAGAAGAAGCACCGGCUAACUACGUGCCAGCAGCUGCGGUAAUACGUAGGGUGCGAGCGUUAAUCGGAAUUACUGGGCGUAAAGUGUGCGCAGGUGGCCGCGCAAGUCGAGUGUGAAAGCCCCGGGCUUAACUUGGGAAUUGCGCUCGAAACUACGUGGCUAGAGUGUGGCAGAGGAAGGUGGAAUUCCACGUGUAGCGGUGAAAUGCGUAGAGAUGUGGAGGAACACCGAUGGCGAAGGCAGCCUUCUGGGCCAACACUGACGCUCAUGCACGAAAGCGUGGGGAGCAAACAGGAUUAGAUACCCUGGUAGUCCACGCCCUAAACGAUGAUGACUAGUUGUUGGGGGAGUUAAAUCCCUUAGUAACGCAGCUAACGCGUGAAGUCAUCCGCCUGGGGAGUACGGUCGCAAGAUUAAAACUCAAAGGAAUUGACGG
RNAcentral lists this ribosomal RNA (587 nucleotides) under uncultured bacterium. RNAcentral's name for it is "bacterial SSU rRNA". It matches the Rfam family "Bacterial small subunit ribosomal RNA", at positions 338 to 916 of the family's 1533-position model. The record is from RNAcentral.